CCCUGGAGGACUAGCGGUUAGGCCACAGCGCUCUCACCGCUAUGGCCCGGGGUCGAUUCCUGGCCACUGGGG
This 72-nucleotide transfer RNA is filed under the name Pangasianodon gigas (Mekong giant catfish). RNAcentral describes it as "tRNA-Glu". Lineage: Eukaryota; Metazoa; Chordata; Actinopteri; Siluriformes; Pangasiidae. The record is from RNAcentral.